RNAcentral lists this transfer RNA (66 nucleotides) under Valenciennea longipinnis (long-finned goby). Its description in RNAcentral is "tRNA-Cys". The record is from RNAcentral. Lineage: Eukaryota; Metazoa; Chordata; Actinopteri; Gobiiformes; Gobiidae.
AGCCCCGAGGUGUUGUACAUAUAAGAUUGCAAAUCUUAAGUAGCAGAGUAAAGCCUGCCGGGGCUU